AUGAACGCUGGCGGCGUGCCUAAUACAUGCAAGUUGAGCGAACAGACGAGGAGCUUGCUCCUCUGACGUUAGCGGCGGACGGGUGAGUAACACGUGGAUAACCUACCUAUAAGACUGGGAUAACUUCGGGAAACCGGAGCUAAUACCGGAUAAUAUAUUGAACCGCAUGGUUCAAUAGUGAAAGACGGUUUUGCUGUCACUUAUAGAUGGAUCCGCGCCGCAUUAGCUAGUUGGUAAGGUAACGGCUUACCAAGGCAACGAUGCGUAGCCGAGCUGAGAGGGUGGUCGGCCACACUGGAACUGAGGAACGGUCCAGACUCCUACGGGAAGCAGCAGUAGGGAAUCUUCCGCAAUGGGCGAAAGCCUGAAGGAGCAAAGCCGCGUGAGUGAUGAAGGUCUUCGGAUCGUGAAACUCUGUUAUUAGGGGAGAACAAAUGUGUAAGUAACUAUGCACGUCUUGACGGUACCUAGUCAGAAAGCCACGGCUAACUACGUG
Molecule: ribosomal RNA, 496 nt
Filed under: uncultured bacterium
Lineage: Bacteria
Description: partial 16S ribosomal RNA
Rfam family: Bacterial small subunit ribosomal RNA
Source: RNAcentral